CGUGAAAAUACUUCUACAAGCACAAGCUGCAUGUAAAAUUAUAAAACAGGAAGACAUUUGCACAGACCUCAUGCUUCUGAGACUCUGAUGGGCACGCACAUCAGAAGGGUGGGCUACAUCCAACACUAUCCAGUAAACGCAUGCUCAUUUCUUUCAUCCAAGUUGGACUGAACCAUUCAGCUCAAUCUAUAAUUACUGACAGCCUUCGGUGAUGAUGAUGAUAAUGACAGUGCUACUCUCAAAAGCCAAGAGAUGGAAGAAAUGCAUGUAUCCAUUGAUGAAGAGUGAAUAAACAGAAGGUGGCUUCUAUGUUCAGUGAAAUAUUGUUCAAUCUUAAAGAAGGAGUUUCUAACACACCCUACAACAUGGAUGAACUCAAGAACAUUAUACCAAGUGAAAUAGAUCAGUUCCAAAAAAACAAAUACUGUAUGAUUCCACACAUGUGAAGUAUCUAAAGUAAUAAAAUUAAUAUAAAUACAAA
Molecule: long non-coding RNA, 481 nt
Organism: Suricata suricatta (meerkat)
Lineage: Eukaryota; Metazoa; Chordata; Mammalia; Carnivora; Herpestidae
Exons: 3
Source: RefSeq, a predicted model, not a curated record